This is a long non-coding RNA of Acipenser ruthenus (sterlet), 2554 nucleotides long. RefSeq lists it as uncharacterized. The record is from RefSeq and is a predicted model, not a curated record. The transcript is spliced from 2 exons. NCBI's taxonomy places the organism in Eukaryota, Metazoa, Chordata, Actinopteri, Acipenseriformes, Acipenseridae.
UCUCCCCUCUCCUCUCUCCUCUCUCCCCUCUCUCCUCUCUCCUCUCCUCUCCCUCCCUCCCCUCAAAGGUGAGAAUGCCUGCCCCGCACCCCCUUCCACUGAGGAAUGGUUCAAACAGGAUGGUGCCUUCCUGCAUGAUCUCAAUGCAAACUCUGCUGCUUCCUGGAUCAAAUCAUAAGAAACUGGGGGAAGCCAAAAGACAAACAAAUUACAGAGAAUCACGCUGACAGCCCCGUGCUUGUCAGAUAUAUGCAAGCAGAAGCUGUUGCUGUAAAAUAGAAACCUCCCUCCUCACCCCUCUUUUCCCUGCCUCAGUGGAACCUCCCAGCCUCAGCACUGCAUUUCACAGUUUGGUUUUUUUCGUUUUACAUUUUCAUAUCUGGGGGGGGGGGGAGGGGGAGAGAGGGGAGGGGUCGUGGUGUAGCACGUGCCAGCCGUGUAUGCAAUGAUACAAAUUAACAAGCUCCCGAAAUCAAUGUGCAACCGUUUCAUUGAUUACCCCAUUCAUCGAUUUAUCAGAUUCGCUGGCUGGCUUGGAUUUAAACGGCGCCUGUUUGCACCUGCUGGUUAUUUGAUUAAUCAGUUAGUCGGUCGGUCGUUAAGGGUUGAUUUUGUUUUUGCUGGACGAUUAGUUAACAGAGAAAUACAAACUCAGCCCCCACCUCCUCCUCUCCCUCCCCCCUCAACGGGAGAAACGGACGAGGGCAAGAACUCAGGACAUUUAUUAUUAUUAUUAUUAUUAUUAUUAUUAUUAUUAUUAUUAUUAUUAUUAUUAUUAUUAUUAUUAGCAUUGGAUUUAUUUAUUAAUUUUUGUCUUUUUUAUUGGGGGGGGGAGAAUUAUUUAUGUAUAUAUUUAUUUAUUGAACUGAUUAAUUAUUUAAUGUGUGUGUUUUUUUCAACUUUCUCUGUAAGUCUUAAUCUGCAGGUUUGAUUAGAAUUUCAACUGUAUUAAUUAAUUUAUUUCUAUUUUAAAUCCGACCCAUUUAUAUAUUUAUUUAUUAUUAUUAUUAUUAUUAUUAUUAUUAUUAUUAUUAUUAUUAUUAUUAUUAUUAUUAUUAUUUUCUUCUCCAAUUUCCCUUUCGGAUUACAAAACCAAACCCACCGCCAUCCAACAGCCAACAGGAAUUAAGAACGGGACUUAAAUAACAAAACACAGAAGACCAACUAUAUAAAUAUAUAUAAAUAUAUACAUCUCAACAUAUCUCUCGAUCUAUGGAUCCAGCACUCCAGAUAACGCAUCAUUGAGUAACGCGCUCUCCAAUUCGGACCCUACAGACUUCAACGCAUCUCCGGUUAAAAUCUGCGCGCCGCUAUUGCUGAGGACGUGUGACGUAUGACGUAUGAUGGACUCUACAAGCUAUGGGAAGGUCACUCUACAAAGAACGAAACCAUUCUACAUAUAUAUAUAUAUAUAUAUAUAUAUAUAUAUAUAUAUAUAUAUAUAUAUAUAUAUAUAUAUAUAUAUAUAUAUAUAUAUAUAUACAACUGUGUGUAUAUUUGUCCAAACACCCCAAGAUUUGUGAUUUUAAGCCUUGAUCUAUCGGCCUGCAUGAAAACACCUCUGGGCUUGAGAAUCUCAAUUCAAUAACCAUUGACCGCUUUGUGCUUGAAUUAGACAAACAAAACUCAAAACACAGUCCGUGAUCCGGCGUGUUCCUCCUCUCCUCCUGCGUGACGGGACGUGCUUGGGUGGUCUAUUAAAAUCGUCCACUGAAGCAGACCAGCCCUAAUGUGACUGUUCACUGUGGACCAGGAUUUUCAGAGACGGUGGUUUGAUUUUUAGACGCACAGCGAAUUAAAACUGCAGAAGCAAUGGGGUGUUGAGUGUGUGUGUGUGUGUGUGUGUGUGUGUGUGUGUGUGUGUGUGUGUGUGACACACACACACACACACACACACACACAUAUACACCUAUAUCUACAUAUAUUUAUAUAUAUCAAAGGAAAUCUUCAGAAACGAUGGACAAUUGUGUGAGAAUGGAAUUCACAUAACACAAAACAGUACCGAUUGAUCAAUAUUUAUUAAAUGAAUAAUACUAAGAAAACUCUUAAUAACAAAGACUUUACGCUUGUAAGUGCAAGGCUAUUGAAAGGACCUCGAUUGAAAGGAGUCUGGGACUGAAGAAGACUUCGAUUUGGGAUUACAGUGCCUGUUUGAAGGAUCGUUUGGAUUUGGGAAUGCAAACCCGAGGGGUUAUGAAUCGGAAACGGGCGACUUCCAGACAGGUGCAAUCGACUCAGGAUUGAGUUAAGAAUCCUGGAAUGUUCCAAAUUGAAAAAAAUACAGGAGGGGUCCCGGAAUGUUCCAAAUUGAAAAAAAAACAGGAGGGGUCCCGGAAUGUUCCAAAUUGAAAAAAAUACAGGAGGGGUCCCGGAAUGUUCCAAAUUGAAAAGAAAAACUGGAGGGGUCCCGGAAUGUUUCAAAUUGAAAAAAAAAACAGGAGGGGUCCCGGAAUGUUCCAAAUUGAAAAAAAAAACAGGAGGGGUCCCGGAAUGUUCCAAAUUAAAAAAAAAAAACAGGAGGGGUCCCGGAAUGUUCCAAAUUGAAAAAAAACAA